Molecule: long non-coding RNA, 2781 nt
Filed under: Rattus norvegicus (Norway rat)
Lineage: Eukaryota; Metazoa; Chordata; Mammalia; Rodentia; Muridae
Description: long non-coding RNA NONRATT005430
Source: RNAcentral
CUUCAAGGAACAACUGCUAAUGAGUCUGCAGAGUCGCCUGUGUGUCUUUCAGCGUAGUCUCCACUCAGAGCUGAGUGAGUGGCCCCAUUGAUGAGUGACCUGCUGCCGGCUCUGGACCAAAGCUGUUCUGUCCUUCCCACUGACUUGGAACCAGUCUGUAGAACCGGAAGCAGAGAAAAGAAGCAAUCAGACUUCCCUUUCAAUCAACUCGUGACAUUUGACUCCAGAGACAGAGGCACAGUGAAAUAGUUAUCUGACGACCAUCCUCACUUUGAGGGCGCACAUCGUGGAGCUUCCUGUGUGAAGAUUUGGAGCCUUCGUGGUGCUUGCUCAGGCCUUGGACUGAGCAUGAGUGAAUUCUGGCUGUGCUUCAACUGCUGUAUUGCAGAGCAGCCUCAGCCUAGGCGACGACGGAUUGACCGAAGUAUGAUUGGGGAACCAACCAACUUUGUGCACACAGCUCACGUAGGAUCCGGAGACCUAUUUAGUGGGAUGAACUCGGUCAGCUCCAUUCAGAACCAGAUGCAGUCCAAGGGAGGUUAUGGAGGAGGAAUGCCUGCCAAUGUGCAGAUGCAGCUUGUGGACACAAAGGCAGGAUAGCCCUGGUCCCUUCAUCUGUCAUUGUGAACUCCCGUAUUUUCUCUGUCCACAGUUCUAUAAUAUUUUUGUCUUGUGAUUGGAUUUCUUUUAUUUUAAUUAUAAAAAAGAAGUGUGGCGGCAAUCUGUUCACCCUGUGAUCUCCAGCAAAGAUGUUCCUGCUCCAGGGAAGGCAGUGUCAGGCCGACCUGCCUUGCCGUUAGCGGCAUGCAUGCCUGGGACUCUGACAGAGUUCUUUGGAUCGUAGCUGAAUUUUCAAUGUUUAAUUGACAUGGAUCGGAUCUUAGCAUGGUCUUCUUUGUGACUGCUAGCACUGUAUUGUAAUUUUCCAUUUUAAACCUUUUCGUUGCACCUCCAGCCCCUCUGCCGUAUGAUUUACUGGUAAACAAAGAGCUGUAAUUACUGCCAUCGUUUAUGUAUAUUUGGAAGGUAUGAGACCCACAGCACAAUAGUCCUUUGCAGCUGUGGAACGUGCGUGGAGUGCGUCUGCACACUCCAUGGUGCUGCUCAGAGGGGACCCCAUGGGACACCAGACCUCCAUCCUGAGCUGCUGCAGCCUGAGGUGGCUCCCCUCUCAGAGGAGGCUCUUUACACAUAUUCCGAGUGGGUUCUGGUCUGACAAGAGCCGUGACAGGAAAGCCUGCGUUGCAGAGGCAGUGGCUUGGCUGUAAAUGUUGAGUGUAUUUAUUUGAGAGUAAGGACCUGUGAUUGUGAGCAGAUGCAGUCUGGAUCUGAGUGUGUGAAGCCCAUUCAGUCUCUCAGCAUCUCCGUCCUGUUAGCUCUUUGUGUUUCUAAGACUUUUGGGGUCAGAUUGCUCCCCCUGUCUGUGAGUUCAGAUUCCGGCCUCUGCCACCAGCUGUGACUCGCAGGGUCCUUGGCCUUCCAGUGUUCACUUACCAUGGACGCUGUGGCAGCUUCCAACAGCAGCCUGCUGCCUGGCUGCCUCAGUGACCAGCCCUCAGUAACAUUCUGAGGGUAGUAAGAGGCCUUUGCUCAGGUCCCGUUCUGUCCUCUUCCCUGCUGAGUGUAAGUAGCUGGGCCCUGUGGUCCACAGUACUUUCUAUCUGCCUUUGACUGAUCGAUUAGCAUUUGUGCAGAAGAUGGGUCUUAACUCAGAUUAGAGCACUGAAGGCACGUAGGUCCUCGGCUAGAGAAGCUGUGAUCUUUUCUUUUCUGCCUUCACCUGUCCCCGUCCUGAGAAUGCUGACUGAAGAGCCACUAGGCUGAGGCAGGCAAAGCCAAAAGCAUUUCCCUCUGUUUCUUCAGAGCGUAACUUACACAGGGUGGAACACUGGGUGACCUGAUUCUUACCAUUCUUAGGUGUCAGUCCUGAGCACAGAGGAUUUCUCUGUCUAGGAGAAACGUUUUCUUCACUGGAUGGACACUGCACUCUAGAGUCUGCCAUUCUGCUUAGCCAGGGUGAGGUUCCUGCCAGGGCACUGCUGUGUGCAGACUUUCUGUAUAACAGACAGGGAAUUCUUGGCAUCGUCGGCACUGAUGGAUGGGACAGCACAGGGAGCCAUUGUCCCCUCCCCCAUCACUGUUUGCUGCUCCAAGGCCAGUCAUUAAUAAGCCAAAGGCUCCUGAAGCCCAUGAUGGUCCUGGCAGCCUCUGACCUCUCGGCACAGUGAGACACUGUCCCCAGCACAGCGCCUGGUGCCCUGGAGGGUUCCAGUAAGGUCGAGAGAGUGUACAGCGUGACCUGGUACAUGCUGGUUAUGGAGGCCUGAGGAUGCCGGCAAAGGUGCAGGGACACGUCCCACCUCCUCCAAUGGGAUCGUAAACCUUGGGAACUCCUCUGUUCCCCUAGUCACACAUCUCAUUUUUAAAUUGGAGCUAAUAGGAUUUUGUACCCAGAAUUUAUUAUAUUGCUAAUAUUUCUCUGAAAUACAUGGUAACAACUAGUAAGCAGGAGAAACAGCAGAUCGCAGCGGUGUGCUGGGCGCAGCUUCUCCAGUGGGCCUGGAAAGUGUUUGGUCAUGAAACGGAGCUGUUGGUGAGAGCAGCUGCUUGAUCUGCUCGGUGACUCGUGCUCAGCCCCAGAAGACAAGAUGGACGUAUUUUUAUAAUCUAAGCAUACUUUUUUUGUACAUUGUGUUCAUUCUUGAAUAAAGUGAGCUCACUGUUGGCUUGUAGAUAUUAAAAAAGAAAGUAUUGAUUUUGAUUCAAUAAAUGUUUUCUUUU